GCGGAAUGCUCUACACAUGCAAGUCGAACGGCAGCACGGGAGCUUGCUCCUGGUGGCGAGUGGCGAACGGGUGAGUAACAUAUCGGAACGUACCCAGUCGUGGGGGAUAACUAUCCGAAAGGAUAGCUAAUACCGCAUACGUCCUGAGGGAGAAAGCGGGGGAUCGCAAGACCUCGCGCGAUUGGAGCGGCCGAUAACGGAUUAGCUAGUUGGUGGGGUAAAGGCUCACCAAGGCGACGAUCCGUAGCGGGUCUGAGAGGACGACCCGCCACACUGGAACUGAGACACGGUCCAGACUCCUACGGGAGGCAGCAGUGGGGAAUUUUGGACAAUGGGGCAACCCUGAUCCAGCCAUUCCGCGUGAGUGAAGAAGGCCUUCGGGUUGUAAAGCUCUUUCAGCAGGAACGAAACGGUCGGCUUUAAUAAAGUCGGCUAAUGACGGUACCUGCAGAAGAAGCACCGGCUAACUACGUGCCAGCAGCCGCGGUAAUACGUAGGGUGCGAGCGUUAAUCGGAAUUACUGGGCGUAAAGCGUGCGCAGGCGGCGACAUAAGACAGAUGUGAAAUCCCCGGGCUCAACCUGGGAACUGCGUUUGUGACUGUGUUGCUAGAGUGUAACAAAAGGGGGUGGAAUUCCACGUGUAGCAGUGAAAUGCGUAAAGAUGUGGAGGAACACCGAUGGCGAAGGCAGCCCCCUGGGU
Molecule: ribosomal RNA, 701 nt
Filed under: uncultured bacterium
Lineage: Bacteria
Description: bacterial SSU rRNA
Rfam family: Bacterial small subunit ribosomal RNA
Source: RNAcentral